This 434-nucleotide ribosomal RNA is filed under the name uncultured bacterium. RNAcentral describes it as "partial 16S ribosomal RNA". It matches the Rfam family "Bacterial small subunit ribosomal RNA", at positions 28 to 507 of the family's 1533-position model. The record is from RNAcentral.
GGCGAACGCUGGCGGCAGGCCUAACACAUGCAAGUCGAACGAACCUUUCGGGGUUAGUGGCGGACGGGUGAGUAACACGUGGGAACGUGCCUUUAGGUUCGGAAUAACUCAGGGAAACUUGUGCUAAUACCGAAUGUGCUCUUCGGGGGAAAGAUUUAUCGCCUUUAGAGCGGCCCGCGUCUGAUUAGCUAGUUGGUUGAGGUAAUGGCUCACCAAGGCGACGAUCAGUAGCUGGUCUGAGAGGAUGAUCAGCCACAUUCGGACUGAGACACGGCCCAAACUCCUACGGGAGGCAGCAGUGGGGAAUCUUGCGCAAUGGGCGAAAGCCUGACGCAGCCAUGCCGCGUGAAUGAUGAAGGUCUUAGGAUUGUAAAAUUCUUUCACCGGGGACGAUAAUGACGGUACCCGGAGAAGAAGCCCCGGCUAACUUCGUG